AGUGUUCUAGCUCAGUGGUUAAGAUGUUGGACUACUGAUCGAAAGGUUGAGAGUUCAAAUCCCAGUGCCACUA
This is a non-coding RNA of Ameiurus melas (black bullhead), 73 nucleotides long. The record is from the annotation of a GenBank genome assembly. Lineage: Eukaryota; Metazoa; Chordata; Actinopteri; Siluriformes; Ictaluridae.